GUAGAAAAUUGUGCAGAACGACCACGCCAGUCACGAUUGUCUGGCUCUGAAUAACGACUUAGAGACUGAUUUGGCAUAUUGAUUUCUCCAUGACUCCAGCUUUGAUCUUCACCAAAAAGCUCAUCUUCAAUUUCUCGUUUGAUUUUUAAGAUCUCAUCAGAGAUCACACCAGCCUCUCUGAGUUGCAGCAGCUGGUCUCUCGUGUACCGCACACGGUCACGAAUCUCAAAUCGUGAGUCCCCGGUCUUUGGAGGCGGAGCACCACCGUGAGGACGCAAGAGAGGGAGAUCACCAAAAGCGAUAGA
This 305-nucleotide unclassified non-coding RNA is filed under the name Hevea brasiliensis (rubber tree). The record is from RNAcentral. Lineage: Eukaryota; Viridiplantae; Streptophyta; Magnoliopsida; Malpighiales; Euphorbiaceae.